RNAcentral lists this ribosomal RNA (499 nucleotides) under uncultured bacterium. RNAcentral's name for it is "partial 16S ribosomal RNA". It matches the Rfam family "Bacterial small subunit ribosomal RNA", at positions 28 to 507 of the family's 1533-position model. The record is from RNAcentral.
GACGAACGCUGGCGGCGUGCUUAACACAUGCAAGUCGAACGGGCCCGCUCUCUUUUUUGGGGGUGGGUUGAGUGGCGAACGGGUGAGUAUCACGUGAGUAACCUGCCCCCUGCUCCUGGAUAACUGCUUGAAAGGGCGGCUAAUACGGGGUGUGCCGGCUGGUCCGCAUGGGCCUGGUCGGGAUAGUUUCAUCUUCGGGUGUUUCGGUGGGGGAUGGGCUCGCGGCCUAUCAGCUUGUUGGUGGGGUGAUGGCCCACCAAGGCGGUGACGGGUAGCCGGUCUGAGAGGGUGGGCGGCCACACUGGGACUGAGACACGGCCCAGACUCCUGCGGGAGGCAGCAGUGGGGGGUAUUGCACAAUGGGCGGAAGCCUGAUGCAGCGACGUCGCGUGAGGGAUGGAGGCCUUCGGGUUGUGAACCUCUUUCUCCGGUGGUGAAGGCCCUGUCCGUUGCGGCGGGGUUGACGGUAGCCGGGUAUGAAGCGCCGGCUAACUACGUG